CACAUUUACUCUGACAAGGUUUCUUAUUCGUAGCUCUUUUACACACAAGUCCCAUGUUUGAUGCAGGAUAAUGACGCAGUAUUCAAGUUUUACCUGUUUAUACUAGACUGCUUGCCACUGGUUAAUCCUGGGUUCCCAAACUUUUGUUGGUCUCUCCUUUUGCGGAGACAUUUUUUGCAACCUCAUGAAUUAUACUAAAUAAUAUUAAUAUACUGUAUUUGCUAAACAGUUGUUAACUUUCAUUUUAUGAAACCAUUUAAAAGUUAAUGCAAAUCAAGUUUAGUGAUAGUUCAAUCAGGAAGACACUCCUCAGUAGUCCUCAGUAAUACUGCUAAGUAUAAGCUACUUCUCGUUCAAGACUGAUCUGCUCCAACAGGUCCCCCCUCCAUGCCUGCUCAUGGCCACAAAAAGGCCAAGAAAUCAUGUCAUUUUCAGGCUCCUCAGCCUAAGAGAAGAAAUGUCUCUUCUUCUACUCGUUCUCUUGCUCACCCAGCCUCAUUUGCUACCCCAGCCACUCUGCUGCAGAUAACACCCUGUUCGCCAUUAUACAGUCUCUGGCUGGUUCCAAGCAAUCGACGCACGCCUUCAGUCCCUGGAAAAUGCUUCAGCCUCUGCCUCAUCAUCAGCGACUUUCGUCACCACCCAGGCCUCCAUGAUGCAGCCUGCCUCCGUGUUCAACCAGCCCAUCCAUUGCUGGCCAUAUUCCCUCAUUUAUUUUGGUCAUUGCUGACUAAGUUGGCAUAUCAUGUUGCUGGUCAUUACUGACCAUAUUCAUUUAGUUCGUGGUCAUUGCUGCCCUCAUUUUGUUUUCUGGCCAAUGGUAGUCAUCCACUACCUUAACCAUAAUGGAAAAAAACACAUUUUCUUGAUUUUAUCAGCAAUACUUUUGUGACUAAUCCAAUCUGCUGCUGCCUGAUAAGGUAAGGAACAAUAUUUUAUUUUGGGGGGAUAUUCCUGUACAGCUCCCUACCCCGUGAAAAUGAUGAUGUCACGAUGAGGUCUAAUCGCCAAACAAUCACUUAUUUCUUCAACUUUUCCUAUUGUCAAAUAAAUAAAUUUAAUUACUCUUUAAGCCUCUCUUUCAAUUAAGUCUCUUGAACUUACAUUCUACAAUCAAGUAUCUGAGUAUACUGAGCAGACCAGAGUAGACAGGCAAUAUACCAGGGUUAAUACCAUAAUUAUCCAUUAUAUAAUGUAGAAAUUGAAUACUAAACUGUCAUGGUACAGCGUACCACUUCUAGUGUCUGUUUGUCCCCUGUUAGUUCUCCCUCUGUGUUUGUCUGUGUGUGUGUGUGGCUGGCAGGGUGUGGCCUCCCAGGAACCUCCAAUCAAGAACUGACAAACCUGCUACACUCUUGCUGUUACUCACCUGAUCUCCAUCCACUAAUCAACACCUGACAGCUCACCUCAGCCACCAUCUCCUCACCACGGACUCUCCACCGCUUCACCUCAGCCUGUUGUUCUCAUUCCGCCUGCCUGCUCUCACCAACCACUCGCCGGCCAGCCAUCUUUCCCCUCCACACACCUAGUGUCUACUCGUGGUUACAAUAAAUUUAAACUAAUCAUUUCAA
Molecule: long non-coding RNA, 1571 nt
Organism: Siniperca chuatsi (mandarin fish)
Lineage: Eukaryota; Metazoa; Chordata; Actinopteri; Centrarchiformes; Sinipercidae
Exons: 2
Source: RefSeq, a predicted model, not a curated record